ACCACCGUAGCUCAGAGGCUUGAGCAUUGGUCUUGUAAGCCAAAGGUCACAAGUUCGAAUCUCGUUGGUGGCU
Molecule: transfer RNA, 73 nt
Filed under: Nephila pilipes (giant wood spider)
Lineage: Eukaryota; Metazoa; Arthropoda; Arachnida; Araneae; Nephilidae
Rfam family: tRNA
About the family: Transfer RNA (tRNA) molecules are approximately 80 nucleotides in length.
Source: Rfam by way of RNAcentral